UACGUACCGUCCAAACGUUAUUCGGAAUUACUGGGCGUAAAGCGUGCGCAGGCGGUCUUGCAAGACAGAUGUGAAAUCCCCGGGCUUAACCUGGGAACUGCAUUUGUGACUGCAAGGCUGGAGUGCGGCAGAGGGGGAUGGAAUUCCGCGUGUAGCAGUGAAAUGCGUAGAUAUGCGGAGGAACACCGAUGGCGAAGGCAAUCCCCUGGGCCUGCACUGACGCUCAUGCACGAAAGCGUGGGGAGCAAACAGG
This 253-nucleotide ribosomal RNA is filed under the name uncultured bacterium. RNAcentral describes it as "partial 16S ribosomal RNA". It matches the Rfam family "Bacterial small subunit ribosomal RNA", at positions 524 to 776 of the family's 1533-position model. The record is from RNAcentral.